CCUAUCAGCUUUAGACGGUAGGGUAUUGGCCUACCGUGGCUAUGACGGGUAACGGGGAAUUAGGGUUCGAUUCCGGAGAGGGAGCCUGAGAAACGGCUACCACAUCUAAGGAAGGCAGCAGGCGCGCAAAUUACCCAAUCCUAAUACAGGGAGGUAGUGACAAGAAAUAACAAUACAGAGCCUUACGGUUUUGUAAUUGGAAUGAGUUAAGUAUAAACCCCUUAACAAGUAUCAAUUGGAGGGCAAGUCUGGUGCCAGCAGCCGCGGUAAUUCCAGCUCCAAUAGCGUAUAUUAAAGUUGUUGCAGUUAAAAAGCUCGUAGUUAAUUUUCUGUUAAUUUUUAUAUACAAUGCUACGGUAUUUAUAUAAUAUUAACAUAAUUCAUAUUACUUUUUAGUAUAUGAAACUUUACUUUGAGAAAAUUAGAGUGCUUAAAGCAGGCUAUUGCCUUGAAUACUCCAGCAUGGAAUAAUAUUAAGGAUUUUUAUUCUUCUUAUUGGUUCUAGAAUAAAAAUAAUGAUUAAUAGGGACAGUUGGGGGCAUUUGUAUUUAACAGUCAGAGGUGAAAUUCUUA
This 573-nucleotide ribosomal RNA is filed under the name Cryptosporidium ryanae. Its description in RNAcentral is "SSU rRNA". It matches the Rfam family "Eukaryotic small subunit ribosomal RNA", at positions 311 to 922 of the family's 1831-position model. Lineage: Eukaryota; Apicomplexa; Conoidasida; Eucoccidiorida; Cryptosporidiidae. The record is from RNAcentral.